CCCAAACCUGCUGAUGCGCCGUGCUGUCGCUCCUGGGUUUGGUAACAGGCUCUCAUCUGAAAUGGCAGGAAAGGUCUGCCACGCCUGGACCAGAAGCCAAAAUUUCAGCAUUUCAUUCUUUCUCAGCCACCAAAAAUGACAGCAAAACCUCUGGUUUUCUCCUUGGUCAGCAGGGCACAGAGAAAGAAGGAACCCCUGUGCUGGCUGAAACUGUUGCCUGUGCUCUGGGUUGAAGAUUUUAAACUUUUUCAUUUUAAAGGUAGGGGCUUGCAUGAAUAUGCUCCAAGAUAUUUCACUCAUGGAACUGGAGAGGGGUGUGAUUCAGCCUGAAACUGGAUUUAUGCUGCACUCUUAUUUUAGUUCCUACUGCCUAGGAGAAUAGUUACUACUCAAAUCACAAACUGUGUCUGUGACCUGUGCUAAGUUUUCAAAUUAAUUUGGUUUUGGUUUUGAUAGCUUCAACGGAAUUGUUGAAUAACAUUUCCUUCAGCAGGAGUUUUCCAAACAAAUUUACUUCAUUUCUGCUCGUGAGAAGUGGAAAGAAUGUAUUUUCCUUGUGCCUGCUUGGAACUACAUGUGCCUCUGAGGUCCAGAAGGUGACAUAUCUUUCACAAGUGAUUCUUCCAAUAAGGGUAGAGAGGAGAAACUAAUUGUUGUGUGCUGUAGCUACCAGAAGAUUAAAAAUAUUCUGUACUAAAAUAAAUUAACUGUUGCUCAGCAUUUGGACUUGUGGAGCACAGAGCUGACUAGGUUGAGCCUAGGGAGAGAACUGGAAAACCAACUUCUCAGCUGGAAAAGGAGCCCCCUGAAUUUAAUGCUGUUGGACCUAAUGAGCAGGAACAAACCUGGAAGACCUUGGCUGAAUGCUAAAUGUGACAGCAGUUUGAAAUCUGCUUGUGUUUCGCUUGUUUCACUGGUACAAAGCUUCUGGAGAAAUGCAUCAGGAACAUUUGAAUGCAAGUGAAGGAUUCAAACAGAACCAAAUCACUGGGGUGCCUGAACAAGGCAUUGCCAAGGCUUUGCACAUGUCAAUCACUCACAGAGAAGAUCAUCUAAGCCAGAAA
Zonotrichia albicollis (white-throated sparrow) is the source of this 1064-nucleotide non-coding RNA. NCBI's taxonomy places the organism in Eukaryota, Metazoa, Chordata, Aves, Passeriformes, Passerellidae. The record is from RefSeq and is a predicted model, not a curated record.